AGCAGCAUGGCGCAGUUGGAAGCGCGCGGGGCCCAUAAUUUGUAACCCCGAGGUCACUUGAUCGAAACAAGUUGCUGCUA
Non-coding RNA from Sphagnurus paluster, 80 nucleotides. Lineage: Eukaryota; Fungi; Basidiomycota; Agaricomycetes; Agaricales; Lyophyllaceae. The record is from the annotation of a GenBank genome assembly.